CGACCGAGAUGAACACCCGCAAUUUAAUACGUUGUGGGACUGACAGUAUCGAGAGAAGAAGCCCCGGCUAACUCUGUGCCAGCAGCCGCGGUAAUACAGGGGGGGCAAGCGUUGUUCGGAAUUACUGGGCGUAAAGGGUUCGUAGGUGCCAACUAAGUCAGAUGUGAAAUCCCUCAGCUUAACUGGGGAACUGCUUCUGAUACUGGUUGGCUUGAGUGCAGGAGAGGAAUGCGGAAUUCCAGGUGUAGCGGUGAAAUGCGUAGAUAUCUGGAGGAACACCGGUGGCGAAGGCGGCAUUCUGGACUGUAACUGACACUGAGGAACGAAAGCCAGGGGAGCAAACGGGAUUAGAUACCCCGGUAGUCCUGGCCCUAAACGAUGAAUGCUUGGUGUGGCGGGUAUCGAUCCCUGCCGUGCCGAAGUUAACGCAUUAAGCAUUCCGCCUGGGGAGUACGGUCGCAAGGCUG
This 467-nucleotide ribosomal RNA is filed under the name uncultured Acidobacteriota bacterium. RNAcentral's name for it is "bacterial SSU rRNA". It matches the Rfam family "Bacterial small subunit ribosomal RNA", at positions 434 to 896 of the family's 1533-position model. The record is from RNAcentral. Lineage: Bacteria; Pseudomonadati; Acidobacteriota.